GAUGAACGCUAGCUACAGGCUUAACACAUGCAAGUCGAGGGGCAGCAUGGUCUUAGCUUGCUAAGGCCGAUGGCGACCGGCGCACGGGUGAGUAACGCGUAUGCAACUUACCUAUCAGAGGGGGAUAGCCCGGCGAAAGUCGGAUUAAUACCCCAUAAAACAGGGGUCCCGCAUGGGAAUAUUGUUAAAGAUUCAUCGCUGAUAGAUAGGCAUGCGUUCCAUUAGGCAGUUGGUGGGGUAACGGCCCACCAAACCGACGAUGGAUAGGGGUUCUGAGAGGAAGGUCCCCCACAUUGGUACUGAGACCACGGACCAAAACUCCUACGGGAGGCAGCA
This 336-nucleotide ribosomal RNA is filed under the name uncultured bacterium. Its description in RNAcentral is "bacterial SSU rRNA". It matches the Rfam family "Bacterial small subunit ribosomal RNA", at positions 28 to 353 of the family's 1533-position model. The record is from RNAcentral.